Molecule: long non-coding RNA, 1162 nt
Filed under: Vigna radiata
Lineage: Eukaryota; Viridiplantae; Streptophyta; Magnoliopsida; Fabales; Fabaceae
Description: long non-coding RNA (VRAD_LNC018288)
Source: RNAcentral
UUUUGGUUUGUUUUCAAGCGAGCUAAAUUAGGUGGUGUGACUUGGCUAAGUUUUUCCUAGGUUCCAAGAUUUGGGAAAUUUUCAAAUUCUUGGUUUUUCAGAGUUAAUGAUUGGAGUGCACUCUUGUAUCACCAAGUGACUACCGCAAAAAUCUUCGUGCAAGAACUUAUUCAUUGUGGUUGGUUUUCAAACUAGCCAAAUAUUGUGGUGAAUUGGUGUUUGGUGCAAAGAUUGUAGAAAUUUUCAAAGUCUGGCCUUUUGAGAUUAUGUGGUUGGAACGCACUCUUUAUAUCCCCAAAUGACUACCUUAAAAAACCUUGUGCAAGAAAUGUUUCAUUUUAGUUGCUUUUGAAGCUAGCUAAGUUAGGUGGUCAAACUUGACUAAGUUUGUCCUUGGUGCCAAGAUUUCUGAAAUUUUCAAAGUCUGCGUUUUUCAGAUUUGAUUGUUGGAAUGCACUCUUUAUAUUACCAAAUGGGUACUAUAAAAAAGAUCAUUCAAGAAAUUUUGCAUUUUGGUUGGUUUUCAAGCGAGCAAAGUUAGGUGGUGAAACUUGGCUAAGUUUGUCCUUGGUGUCAAGAUUUGUGAAAUUUUCAGAGUCUGGGUUUUUCAGAUUUGAUUGUUGGAAUGCACUCUUUAUAUCACCAAAUGCCUACUAUAAAAAGCACGUGGAAGAAAUUUUUCAUUUUGGUUUGUUUUCAAGCGAGCGAAAUUAGGUGGUGAGACUUGGCUAUGUUUUUCCUUGGUGCCAAGAUUUGGGAAAUUUUCAAAUUCUUGGUUUCUGAGAUUUAAUUGUUGGAGUGCACUCUUUGUAUCACCAAGUGACUACCGCAAAAAUCUUGGUGCAAGAAAUUAUUCAUUUUGGUUGGUUUUCAAGCUAGCCAAAUAUGGUGGUGAAACAUGGCUAAUUUGGUGUUUGGUGCAACGAUUGGAGAAAUUUUCAAAGUCAGGCCUUCUGAGAUAAUGUGGUUGCAACGCACUCUUUAUAUCCCCAACUGACUACCUUAAAAAUCCUUGUGCAAGAAAUGUUUCAUUUUAGUUGCUUUUGAAGCUAGCUAAGUUAGGUGGUGAGACUUGACUAAGUUUGUCCUUCGUGCCAAGAUUUCUGAAAUUUUCAAAGUCUGCGUUUUUCAGAUUUGAUUGUUGGAAUGCACUCUUUAUAUC